UUGUUGCAGUUAAAAAGCUCGUUAGUUUGGAUUUCUGGUAGGAUGACUGUGCCCUCAGUAGAGUGUGCGCUGGCGUCUUGCCAUCCUUCUGUUAACCUUUGGGAGCUUCACCGCUCCCUUUGGGGCUCAGAUAUUUUACCUUGNAGAAAAUUAGAGUGUUUCAGGCAGGCUAGCGCCGGAAUACAUUAGCAUGGAAUAAUGGGAAUAGGGACCUUUUGGCCUCUUCCUGGUUGGGGUUCAUUGGGGGGGUUUCGAAGUUAAUGAUUAAUAGGGAUAGUUGGGGGGGCAUUUUAAGNUUACCUUUCACCUGGUNCCAGGAAGGGGUGGAAAAUUUCUCCGGGAAUUUGUGAAAGACUACUAUGCGAAGCAUUACCAGGAUGUUUUCAUUAAUCAAGAACGAAAGUUAGGGGGAUCAAAGACGAUCAGAUACCGUCCUAGUCUUAACCAUAAACUAUGCCGACUCGGGAUCGGGGGCGAGAACUAUCCGCCUUCGGCACCGUAUGAGAAAUCAAAGUCUUUGGGGUUCUGGGGGG
This 533-nucleotide ribosomal RNA is filed under the name uncultured eukaryote. RNAcentral describes it as "partial 18S ribosomal RNA". It matches the Rfam family "Eukaryotic small subunit ribosomal RNA", at positions 610 to 1121 of the family's 1831-position model. The record is from RNAcentral.